This 368-nucleotide ribosomal RNA is filed under the name Deltaproteobacteria bacterium. Its description in RNAcentral is "partial 23S ribosomal RNA". It matches the Rfam family "Bacterial large subunit ribosomal RNA", at positions 2567 to 2925 of the family's 2925-position model. The record is from RNAcentral. Lineage: Bacteria; Pseudomonadati; Myxococcota; Myxococcia.
AAGGGUUUGGCUGUUCGCCAAUUAAAGCGGUACGUGAGCUGGGUUUAGAACGUCGUGAGACAGUUCGGUCCCUAUCUGUGGUGGGCGUAGGAUAUUUGAGAGGAGCUGUCCCUAGUACGAGAGGACCGGGAUGGACGAACCUCUAGUGUACCAGUUGUUCCGCCAGGAGCACCGCUGGGUAGCUACGUUCGGAAUGGAUAACCGCUGAAGGCAUCUAAGCGGGAAGCCAACCUCAAGAUUAGAUAUCCCUCCUUGGUGAAAGCCAAGGACUGAAGGUCCCUGGAAGACUACCAGGUUGAUAGGCUAGUAGUGUAAGUUCGGUAACGGAUUUAGCUUACUAGUACUAAUAGGCCGUGAGGCUUGGCCAU